UACGUAGGCAGCAAGCGUUGUUCGGAGUUACUGGGCGUAAAGGGUGUGUAGGCGGUUGUUUAAGUUUGGUGUGAAAUCUCCCGGCUCAACCGGGAGGGCGCGCCGAAUACUAAGCGACUCGAGUGCGGGAGAGGAGAGUGGAAUUCCUGGUGUAGCGGUGAAAUGCGUAGAUAUCAGGAGGAACACCGGUGGUGCAGACGGCUCUCUGGACCGCGACUGACGCUGAGACACGAAAGCGUGGGUAG
This 245-nucleotide ribosomal RNA is filed under the name uncultured bacterium. RNAcentral's name for it is "partial 16S ribosomal RNA". It matches the Rfam family "Bacterial small subunit ribosomal RNA", at positions 524 to 768 of the family's 1533-position model. The record is from RNAcentral.